AAAAAAGCGAUGACGAGGAAAAUUAAAGGAUUUACCUCAAAGAGAGCCGGUGGUUGGUGUAAACCGGCAGGUGUCCUUUAUUUCCGCCUCGGAGUGCUGGUGAAGAACCGGACGGUUUAGCCGUUAACAAAAAUGAGUGCGCAUAUAGGGUGGCACCGCGGUGAAAAAAACCGCCCCUUUU
RNAcentral lists this non-coding RNA (181 nucleotides) under Thermovenabulum gondwanense. RNAcentral describes it as "T-box sequence". It matches the Rfam family "T-box leader". Rfam says of the family: Uncharged tRNA acts as the effector for transcription antitermination of genes in the T-box leader family. T-boxes are found upstream of many aminoacyl-tRNA synthetase genes and some amino acid biosynthetic genes usually in Gram-positive bacteria. The anticodon of a specific tRNA base pairs to a specifier sequence within the T-box motif, and the NCCA acceptor tail of the tRNA base pairs to a conserved bulge in the T-box antiterminator hairpin. Lineage: Bacteria; Bacillati; Bacillota; Clostridia; Thermosediminibacterales; Thermosediminibacteraceae. The record is from RNAcentral.